RNAcentral lists this long non-coding RNA (290 nucleotides) under Zostera marina. RNAcentral's name for it is "long non-coding RNA (ZMAR_LNC002239)". The record is from RNAcentral. Lineage: Eukaryota; Viridiplantae; Streptophyta; Magnoliopsida; Alismatales; Zosteraceae.
CAAAACAAAUAUUCAUAAUACCCUAGUACACAAACAAAUAUACCAAAUGCUAUAUAUCAAAUCAUCUUAAUCGUCAAACGUUGCCAUCAUACGAAUUCCAUCUAACAAAGACCAUUUUGCCGCAUUCAAAUCUUUGUCUAUUACAUAUCCCACAUGACCUAAAGCUAACGCCUCAAUUGUCAAUAACAUUCGCAAUCCAUUAUCGUCAUCUUUACAUUUAACCUGUGUGAACCUCGGCUCAACUAUCCUAUGCCAUUCCUUAUCUUCGAAUUUGUCAAAUCGUAAUGUCA